GGGGUGGGACAAUAUCCCACCAUGACCAGCUGAAGGGCAAGGCAUGGUGAUAGAGCAGUCUCGGCCAUCAGUUAUGCAAAAUGAAGAGUAGAGCAGAUAUCUCCAUAGACACUUCUGUUAUUCAGCCAUUGAUCCUGUAUAAAAAAAAGGAAACGGACUCUUUCAGCCCUGCAGAAAGAGUGAGGUCUCAGCUCCAUGCCUGUGCAUCACCCCAGACUGAGAACACCUCCACCCCUGGCUCAGCAAGUUAUUAUUCUGUGCAAGCACGAUGCCCUCCCAGGACAACACUACAGGACGGCAUUUGCUUGGAUAAAACAGUUUGGCAACACUUGCUCUUGAGGAAAUUUGUGGUCUGUGCGUUGGGGAAUGACUCAGUGGAGCCAGGAGCUGUCUGAAAGCCCCCGCUGAGGAUUUGCUCUGAGCACAGCCUGCAGGGCUGGUGGGUGGGCAAACAAUGU
RNAcentral lists this long non-coding RNA (458 nucleotides) under Chrysolophus pictus (golden pheasant). RNAcentral's name for it is "lncRNA (ENSCPIG00010008643.1)". The record is from RNAcentral. Lineage: Eukaryota; Metazoa; Chordata; Aves; Galliformes; Phasianidae.